AUCAUAGUUAUCCUACUUGGAUAACUGUAGUAAUUCUAGAGCUAAUACAUGCAACUAAGCCUGUCCUUUGCGGGACGGGCGCACUUAUUAGAUCAAAACCAACCGGACUUCGGUCUGACGGUUUGAUGACUCUGGAUAAUUUACCUGAUCGCACGGCCUUUGUGUCGGCGACGUAUCUUUCAAAUGUCUGCCCUAUCAACUUUUGAUGGUAGGUAAUUUGCCUACCAUGGUUAUAACGGGUAACGGGGAAUCAGGGUUCGAUUCCGGAGAGGGAGCCUGAGAAAUAGCUACCACAUCCAAGGAAGGCAGCAGGCGCGCAAAUUACCCACUCCCGAAACGGGGAGGUAGUGACGAUAAAUAACGAUGCGGGACUCAAUCGAGGCCCCGUAAUUGGAAUGAGUACACUUUAAAUCCUUUAACGAGGAUCAAUUGGAGGGCAAGUCUGGUGCCAGCAGCCGCGGUAAUUCCAGCUCCAAUAGCGUAUAUUAAAGUUGUUGCAGUUAAAAAGCUCGUAGUUGGAUCUCAGGAUUUGGAUGGAUGGUUCGCUUUCGGGCGCUACUAUCUGUCUGACCUACUCUAGUCGUGGAUGCCUUGGGUGCUCUUAAUUGAGUGCUUUUGGUGCCCGACGCAAUUACUUUGAAAAAAUUAGAGUGCUCAAAGCAGGCGUAUUGCCUGAAUAGUGUUGCAUGGAAUAAUGAAAUAGGAGUUUACUUCUAUUUUGUUGGUUUUCGGAGGUGAACUAAUGAUUAACAGGGACAGACGGGGGCAUUUGUAUGGAGGGGUUAGAGGUGAAAUUCUUGGAUCCUCUCCAGACAAACUACUGCGAAAGCAUUUGCCAGGAAUGUUUUCACUAAUCAAGAACGAAAGUCAGAGGUUCGAAGACGAUCAGAUACCGUCCUAGUUCUGACCAUAAAUGAUGCCAUCUAACAAUCCACGAAGUUUGCUUGUACGAACUCGUGGGCGGUCCCCGGGAAACCAAAGAUUUUGGGUUCCGGGGGAAGUAUGGUUGCAAAGCUGAAACUUAAAGGAAUUGACGGAAGGGCACCACCAGGAGUGGAGCCUGCGGCUUAAUUUGACCCAACACGGGAAACCUCACCCGGCCCGGACACUUUUAGGAUUGACAGAUUGAAGGCUCUUUCUUGAUCAAGUGGUUGGUGGUGCAUGGCCGUUCUUAGUUGGUGGAGCGAUUUGUCUGGUUAAUUCCGAUAACGAACGAGACUCUACUCUGCUAAAUAGAACGUUGAUAUAUAAAAGUCAGUGCUGACUUCUUAGAGAGAC
Molecule: ribosomal RNA, 1278 nt
Filed under: metagenome
Description: SSU rRNA
Rfam family: Eukaryotic small subunit ribosomal RNA
Source: RNAcentral